CAGGCCGGAUCCGCAGGCCGUAGUUUGCACACCCCUGUGUUAGAGCCACCGUACACUAGACCAUUGCCACAAGAGGAUGCUCCCAAAGUGGACGGAUCAACAGGUGGCAUGGAGCCAGAAUGACCGCUCUUGACAUCGGUGCCAAACUCCCCGUGACUGGCGUAGGGGCCAGUGAGCCCUUUAUGCGGCUCAGCAAUCUGCAGCGUCUGUAACAAGACCCUAACUUGUAUCAGGGCUCUAGCCCAGCACAGUGCAGCCUAGGAUCACAGAAUACAACUUCAAACUACUUUUGGUCCCCUGCCUCCUGCACUGCAUUUUGCUCCCCUCAUCAGCAGCUGGAACUGGGUCUUGGUCUGGAAUAAUUUCUUCUGAAAAUGUUAAUUGGGUUCAUUGUGGUUAGUCAGUGGGUGACCCAUUGACAAAUACAAAAUUGUGCUAAAGUGAUUAACCAAACAUACACAUUUAAAUAUAGUCUAGAAUACUUGGCUCCGUUAGUUUUGACGUAAAUUUGUUUUACAAAUGUGGGGACUGUUUCAUCUUGUAGUGGUAACUCCACUAUAAUAUGGCUUGUAAAAGGUAAGUCUCAUGAGCUCUAGAAUGAGGUCUCUGCUCUUUUAAAUUGUCACUGAGAAGUGGGGUGAGAUGAUGGGACUUCUUGUGACAAUUGACAGGCUUGUCUGUAACUGCAUUAAUUCUUCCCCUACUUUUUGUGCCUCCUAAAAAGCUUCUAGCUAUUGAAACAUACUAAUGAUAAGGACUCCAGUUUUUACUGCAAUAACUUUGCAGCCAGAAGAACAGAUACAGAGAGAGUCUAAGAACAUUCUAGACUCUCCUCUCCAAAAACCCCUGACCAGUUUACCCAGUGCAAGACUGUGCCUGUGUCACCACUUCCUGGACUCGGUCAGGAUCUAUGUUCCUGAAUAAGUCAAAGUACAUUUCUGUAAUCAUACUCUGAACACACCCAUUAGCUCACUCCUCUGCUGCUCUGGGCACUUUGAAACCUUCAUUUGCUUUGGUUGGAUAGCUUUGAUUAAUUGAAAGUAACUUUUUACAGUUUUUAGAAAUACAGUUUUGGAUUUGUUUCAACUAGAAUAUAACCUAUGUCUAGUUAAUAGGCUUCCCCCUUCCUCCGUGAUUAGUCUUGGCAGCCAUUGUUCCCCGCUGCUGUAGAACAGGUUGAGCAAAUAAUACUGUAGAAGGCAGAGCUGGUUGUGCUUCAACAUGUACCAAAGAACAAAUGUUCUGAAAGGAGAAAGAACAAAAUAAAUGUCACACAAUUGACAUAUUUAUACCUCUUUCAUUAAACGUGUCCCAGAGGUUUCUCUAAAUCUAGUUUUGUUUUCUCAAAUUUUUCUUUGUAGUCAGGGCCCCAUUAAUUUUGUCACCAUAAAAUCUACCUCUUUCUGCAGAACUCUGCUCUAGAAUCUCAGCUUUUGUUUAUAAAAAAACUAAGUACGGUAUCUACCCCUUGUGACUGGGGGGGAAAAACCCUUCCAAGGAUGAGUCGAUAUAACCCAUACAAGGAUGUCUGCUCGAGACCUGGUCUACACACACUGUACUGAUUUAACAAAGGGCGGCUAUACACUCAAACUGCCACCAAAAGAUCUCACUGCUGCACUAACUCACGGUGCUAGUGAGUGUGUGGACACUCUUCUGUUGGAGUAAGUUUCCUAUUUUGAUUUAGCCUAAAGUAAUUUUUUUCCAACUUAAAAACUAAGGAAAUAGGGCACUUUUGUUUCUAAAAAGUCUUCACACUAGGGGUAUGAAAGGUUUGUUUGGUUUGUUAGAUGUGAGAGUGAAUUAAUUAGUUACUUUGAUGCAAGUUUGUGUAGCCAAGGCCUGAACUGAUUUAGUUAAAUUGGUGCAAUGCACUUGUGUGGACAUUAGAUCUUAUCCAAACAUACAGAUUGUACCACGCUAGCUUUCCUGGGAUAGUGAUACAAGCCCCUCUAAUGUGCAUAUUUAUACCAGUAUAGCUAUUCCCAUGCAGGAAGGGGAAUAAGAUACAUCAGUGUAAGGCAUCUUUAUCCUGGUGUAACUGCAUCCACACUAGGGGUUGCCAGUAUAACUAUUAUGGUAAAAGAUCUCACCUCUAACCUGACAUAGUUAUACUGCUACAAAAGCUGUGUGCAGAUCAGACCUUACAUUAGCAGGUCUUAAUAACUUGGUAACAAACCUGAGUCUGCAACCAGCCUGAAAAAAGCACCUAAAGGGAGGAGUGCAUUGCCCCAACCAUAUCAGUGGGGCAUAAAUGUUGAAAUCUGUUCUACUGCAGUAUUACCUAAACCCCCUUCUAACCUUAUUACAAACAGAGGAAUGCAGAGGAUUUUGCCACCAAAUUUACGUCAAGCUUGCCUCAGAGUAUGUGGAACCUUGCUUACAGGUCUCUAUAUAUGUAUGUGGGAUAUGCUUGUCCUGUAUAAUCAGCAUGAAUAACUAAUGCAUAAAAUCCAAAAUGAACUUGAAAAACUCCACUGAAAUAGGUACACGCUGAAAUCUCCAGUUUAGAAGAGUAUUUAUUCCACCAAUUACUGAGGAAGAAGAGAAAAUAAGUACCAGUAUGUGUCUGAGUUGUACAGUUAACAAUAGAAGUAAUCCACUGUGCCCUUUCAUUACCCCCAUGGGACUACAGGUUUCCAAGGAAGAGAAGUAAGAUUGAUGUAUUAUGUUAAAUAGACAGUGUGUGCUGUAACAGCUGGGAGCAAGGUAAGUAAACCCUUGUCUGACUAGCCUUUGGUGGAUUUAAGGUCGAUGCUACUAUGCCUUUGACAAUAGUUGUGUAUUAUUUAACUAACACUAGAUUCAGCACAAUCUCUCUUGAAACUGAUCCUCCAAUUACAUGUAAUUUAAAAUAAUGAGCCUUUAUAAUCUCUUGCUUCAAUGGGUUUGGGUAUUUAAAGGGACACACUGCAGUCUGGGCACUUCUCUCGUCAAGUAACGCAAGCGCACAGACUGCUGUUAGAAAACAAAUCACUCUUCAACCCUUUCGUAGUGGUUUUAAUUAUUUUAAACUAGAAGAAAUUGGAGUCCACAUUGCUAGCGCACAGAGUGCACAUCUCGUAUUGUCUUGCCUGAGUUUGGAGUGUGUGGUUGGGGUUUUUUUAAGUCUGAAGUACUAACUUUUUGUUGCACUAUAAUUUAAAUAGCUAGAUGAGUGGCCAGCUCAGUAACCUCGAAGUGCUGUGUCCUAGAGGCAGAAUCUUCAGCUGCCAGGAAAGAGGGUGCGUAUCUCCAAGUACCAAUGCCUGUGAUGAACACCACACUGAAUUAAUGAAACUCUGUCCAGCCUUUAUUUCCUGGAGGAGAGUUGGCAGGCAAUGCACAGAUACGAUGCCCAAAAUUGAAGUCAGUGCUCCAAUUAAGGUCUAACAAUGCUAAAUAGAGUGGAAUAACUACUUCAUUUAAGAAAAUUCUGUCCUACUUCCUGUUCUCUGACUUCCACUUUAGAGAGAGAGAAGAACAGCACAGAUGCCUGAAAAAUAUGUAAGUCACCGCAUAUACAAUCUCACACAUCAUUUACCAGCAUUAUUUAUCACCUCACUCACCUUGUCUCUCUAAUAUCCUGGGACGGACAGGGUUACAACUACACUACAUUUUCAAGCAUUGUUUCUAAAUAUACUCAGCAGCUCUGUAUAAAUUCUACUGUUUCCAAAUCAAAACUCUAUUCACAAAAAGUUGCAAAUUUCUCUCCUGUAUCCUCUAGACCCUUCAUAAAACAACCCAGGACAUGAAAAGUAAAAGCAAGUAUCACAAUCAGUUGUACCCAGCAAAAAGGCAGGAUGUAUAGCAGAUGUGUGAGAAAUCCAGGCAAACCAGGAAUGUACAAGCUGCACACAUACCAUGUGAAGGCCAUGACAGAUAGUCACAUUAAGAGAACCACCUCAACCACAAACAAGCUGAGGCAACUGAGCCUGCAAACACAAGUUGUGUAUUUAAAAAACAGAUGGGACCCACAAGUACUAACUGACAGGUCAAAAACAGGAUUGAUUUCUCUUCAUGUUGGAUUAAGGGAAAAUAUCUUAUUUGCAUAAAAUGACCCUGCACUGACAAGACCUGAUUGUUUAGAGCAUAGCACAAUAGAUGGAUUAUCUGACUCCUGCACACAGAUAACAGAUCAACACAGAUGGUUGUAAACGAGACACUGAGCUUAUUAAUGUCUGCUGUAAGAGCAAAGACAAAUGUGUAUCUUCAGGGUUAUGGUCAGUCUAUACAGAGGACAAUUCCCUUAUUGUGGGGUCCCUGUUUUUUCUUAGCUGGCUUCGUUCAGUCACUAGCAAUUCAUAUAUGUCAAUUUUCACAUAAGGAAAUGAAGGUGAUGUGCAACUUCACACCAAUAUAAAAGAAGGAUUCAUUUGAGAAUUCCUGUCUUUUACUGACUCAGAUAGUAAUUAUAAUAUUUAGCUCUUGUACAGCACUUCUCAUCCAUAGAUCUCAAAACACUUUAUAAAAGGAUGUCAGUAUUAUUAUCCCCAUUUUACAGGUGGGGAAACUGAGACACAGGGAAGUGACUUGCCUAAGGUCACCCAGCAAGCCAGUGGUAGAGCUAGUAAUAGAACCCAGGUCUCCUAAGACCCAGUCCAGUGCUCUAUUCAUUAGGCCAUGUUAAAUGUAAAAUUAUAUUGUAAACGUUAAUGGGGCCAAAUGUUAGCCUACUCUAUUUAUUUGUUUAGCAGAUGUUUAAUAUUUGUUUAAUGUUCCAAUGCUCAAAUAAAAUGCAACCAGCACAGCAACCCUAUAAUAAUAAUAAAUCAAUGCAUACACAUGACUGAAGCAGGGAAAUGUCAAUAAAAAAAAUCAAUUUCAGUUUCAAGUUUUUCAGGGGUCAUUAAAGGACUUUAAUUAUACAAACCAUUUCAGCGCAUGUCAGCCAUUACCUUCUGCAAAGCUAACAUUUUAAUAUAAAUUUAUAUUUACACUGUUAAGUUUGGAACAUUUUCUAGACAAGCAGCCAGAUUUUCUUUCAUAACUUGUGUAUAAAAGAGACUGUGGGUUCAAUUUACACGCAAGUAAAAUUCAGAGAAAAGCUGAAUAAAUCAGCAUUGCCUGAUCAUUUCAAUGUUUCUGCUCAAAACUUCUUCCACAAUAAAUGUGCCCUUGUACACUGAAAAGCAAUUUCCUUAAAAUGACUGAGAAGUGCACUAGUGUGGCAUAUUUAUCUGCUACCAAGAAAUCUUCAUUGUGAAAGUAGUAUUUCAUGGCAGAAGGAGCCCAUGUAGCCUGCAUAAUGUCUAUCCAGCUGUAUGUGCCUGUCUAGCCUUGUAUUUAACAGGUUCAUGACUGCAGCUCUUAAAGCAACUUUUGGUAAUUCAUGCUACACUGAGCUCUUAGGUCUUGAUUCCCCUAACCAUGCAGCUAAUUUGAAAAUGCACAUGGACAGACUCUCAGCAAGCCAGCUCCAUGUCCAAGUACUAGAUUUGCAUGAAUUGCACACAGAUGUUUAUUAAAAUCAGGGUCCUAGCAUUUGCUUUUUUCUUAAUUUUUGACUUGUGCUAGUUACCUUCCCAAAUCAUACUCUGAAGCUCUAACACUCUCAGAAUUGUAUCUCUCUCAAAUAGACCCCAUGUGAACCUUCUAAUUACAGGCAAUUUAUGUAACUUUUGUCAUGUUGCUGGUUUUGGACAUAUCCUACCCUAGCACCCAGGUACAUUACUCCAGGGUCCUCAUUAACUAUGUUUGGACAAGUCCAGUUAGAGAACAUGUUAGUAACAGAACUUCCAGUAACUGCUUUUUGUACUUCUCAGGAUUCUGAAGAGGAGGUGGGACCCGGACAGCCCAUGCCCAACAAGCGCCCCACCCAGACCUUGACAAGUCUCUUCAUGUUGCCAAAUCUCAUGUGUUUUUGUUUUCCUACUGUAAGUAUUUAAUGUGAUUUUAGCAUUAGCUUGGGGGAAGGAGGAAAAGACCAAUUUUUCCUCCCUAUGCAAACGUUUUUUUUUUAAUCUUUAAUGUGACAACUGAAGGAUCAAGGGAAUGUUCAUAGAGUGUGGCACUUCCAACUUCAGAUAGUAAUCGUAGGCUACCACCAUCUGAUGGCUGUUUAGUGGUUUAAGUGCAACUCUUGCUAGAGAGAUGUCCACAUCACAAAAAAACUCCACCUUAGUUGGCACCAAUUGUCCUUUCAGCCCUUUCCUUCUCUGCGAAGACUAUCAAACCAACUAUUUUAUACCAAAAGACCAUCUGUACAGAUCAGAAUGCAGGACUGUUGGCUGGCAAUGCUGGGAAGUCUGCACUGCUGCUGCCUGUACUGAACCUAUUCUGAAACAGAGGACUUUGAUCUCCCAGGCUGUGUCUCUCCCAUUUUCCACAAGCAGAGAUUUCACAGGAAAUAACUCUUCAAUAAGCAAUUCGAACAACUGUGUAGUAGAUUUCCUGGGUUCUUUUGGCAAAGAGGAGGACAUCACACGUACCAUAAACAAAGGACAAUGUCAAAUGAAGGUGUGUACAUUCUUACCAACACCAUCAUAAGAUUAUUGAAAUAAACUUUUAAAAUUCAGUUUACUUUUCAAUAUUUAUAUAUUUUCCUCUGGCUCAGUCAAUAGUCACUUUCAUUUUCAUUUAUAGUCAGUUUCAUUUUCAAGUUCCCAACAUGCAAGUUGUAAACAAUACAGGGGACUUUUUUAAAAAAAUUAACUCUUUAGUUUACACUUUGAAAUUUUUUUCAACUUACAAAAACAUUUGAAGAGCUUCCAAUGAUCUAAAUUUCUAGCUACAUGAAUCAUGCCCCUGUAAAAGUGUCCCUCAAAAGAACUACCCUAUUCUAACACCAUAUUUUCAUCCCUUUUAUUCAUGUAACUUGUGAUGUUGAUGAAGAAAAACCAGAAAUCUGAAGCUCAGCAUUCUCAGGAUCUUAAGGAGGUAAUUUUGCUGAAACACAGCAGUACAUACAUUUCCAAACAGCCAUAUACAGUUUCCCCCUUUGGGAACCCUACAAAAAAAGUUGUAAUCUUUUGACAAAACCAUUGCUCUUCACCUUUAAUUCCCAAGUGUCUACCACCAUUGUAAAUUAUGAAAACCUUAAAAACAUAAAGGAAUUUUAAAAGUACCUUUUUUUUUCACACACAUAAGAUACUUUUUUUAAAUUGCUUUUUUGUUUUUAAGGUUAUGUUUGACUUCCCUUUUGACCUGAAUCGUGCUGUUUACAACACUGGUUCCCACCAGGAAGUUAGACUAGUACAGCACUCCACAGGAAAGGAGGGCUUCAUUCUGGACCCUGCAGAUUAUAUUCUUAUUCAGAAACUAUUUUGAUCUCUAAGGUUUUAAAAGAAAGCUGAAGAAAUCACUUAACACAGGAGCUAAUACAUCCAGUUAUGCAUAAAUAUGGAUAGUAAAUAUUUUUAUUAACAUGCUAUGCUCCUAGCCCACUGUGUGAUGUCUUUGAGUGACUAGAUCUUCCAUUUCUAAAGGCGCAAUAAAAGCUUGUGUAUAGCAACUACAAAUUUUGCAAACAAAUAAACUUUCUGGAGAAGAUAUUCAACUUUGUACUUUAGGCCCCAAUCAUCCUCUUACUGUUGAUCCCUAGUUCAGUAUUUACACUUCUCCUAGCAUGAGGGUGUGUGUCUGUGGCUUUCCCUCGCUCUCCCCGCACCCUGCCCUUCUCUUACUGCUGCCCCACGGGGUUGGGAGGCAGAUGGGCGCUGUGUGUCUGUCUAUCCCUCCCCCAUCAGGAAGCAGGGUGUGGUGGGGGACUCGGGGAGCAGAGGCCUGUCUCCCUCUCUCCGGGCUCCCCUCUCCGUGCCAAGCAUGACUUCAUCCAUCGGGGAGGAGAGUUGCCUGGAGAUUGCAUCAUACGCUCUCCACGCGCAACACCACAGGGUAACCGUGAGGAAAGUCCCGGCCCCUCACACCCAUCACUCGCCCUUCUCUAACUACCUCUCCACGACCCCCUACAGAGCCCGCCCCAUUCAGAGACCCCCACAUACCCGCCCCACACCGCUAUAGACCUUCCCCCACCGAUCAGACCUCCCAGCCAUCCCGUACUACCCCUACAGAGCCCGCCCCAUUGAGACCUCCCACAUACCCACCCCACACACCAGAACUCCUAGCCACCCCGUACUACAGAGCCCGCCCCAUUGAGACCUC
Molecule: non-coding RNA, 8079 nt
Organism: Chrysemys picta bellii (western painted turtle)
Lineage: Eukaryota; Metazoa; Chordata; Testudines; Emydidae
Source: RefSeq, a predicted model, not a curated record